UGGCGCCUUAUAUGCAGCCGUAAGUAGGGUGCUGUUAGAGGACGACAGGAGUGAUCCCAUCUCCUACUAGAC
This 72-nucleotide unclassified non-coding RNA is filed under the name Proteus mirabilis. Lineage: Bacteria; Pseudomonadati; Pseudomonadota; Gammaproteobacteria; Enterobacterales; Morganellaceae. The record is from RNAcentral.